GAUUGACUUUGAUCUGGCUCAGGAUGAACGCUGGCGGCGUGCUAACACAUGCAAGUCGAGCGAUUCUCUUAGGAGAAGAGCGGCGGACGGGUGAGUAACGCGUGGGUAACCUGCCCUGUACACACGGAUAACAUACCGAAAGGUAUGCUAAUACGGGAUAACAUAUUUUGAUGGCAUCAUCGAAAUAUCAAAGCUCCGGCGGUACAGGAUGGACCCGCGUCUGAUUAGCUAGUUGGUGAGGUAAUGGCUCACCAAGGCGACGAUCAGUAGCCGACCUGAGAGGGUGAUCGGCCACAUUGGAACUGAGACACGGUCCAAACUCCUACGGGAGGCAGCAGUGGGGAAUAUUGCACAAUGGGCGAAAGCCUGAUGCAGCAACGCCGCGUGAGCGAUGAAGGCCUUCGGGUCGUAAAGCUCUGUCCUACAAGGAAGAUAAUGACGGUACUUGAGGAGGAAGCCCCGGGUA
This 466-nucleotide ribosomal RNA is filed under the name uncultured Peptostreptococcaceae bacterium. RNAcentral describes it as "bacterial SSU rRNA". It matches the Rfam family "Bacterial small subunit ribosomal RNA", at positions 1 to 499 of the family's 1533-position model. The record is from RNAcentral. Lineage: Bacteria; Bacillati; Bacillota; Clostridia; Peptostreptococcales; Peptostreptococcaceae.